CCCUUAGACGUUCUGGGCCGCACGCGCGCUACACUGACCAGUGCGACAAGCAUCCGUCCUUGGCCGACAGGCUCGGGCAAUCUUUGAACGCUGUUCGUGAUUGGGAUAGACCUUUGCAAUUAUGGGUCUUCAACGAGGAAUUCCUAGUAAACGCAAGUCAUCAGCUUGCAUUGAUUACGUCCCUGCCCUUUGUACACACCGCCCGUCGCACCUACCGAUUGAAUGGUCCGGUGAAAUCUCGGGACGGCGGCUUGGUCGCUUGCGUCCGACUGCUGAAACUUGAUUAAACCAUAUCAUUUAGAGGAAGGUGAANUCGUAACA
Molecule: ribosomal RNA, 321 nt
Filed under: uncultured eukaryote
Lineage: Eukaryota
Description: partial 18S ribosomal RNA
Rfam family: Eukaryotic small subunit ribosomal RNA
Source: RNAcentral